GACAGAGGGUGCAAACGUUGUUCGGAAUUACUGGGCGUAAAGUGUGCGCAGGCGGCCGAGCAAGUCGAGUGUGAAAGCCCCGGGCUUAACUUGGGAAUUGCGCUCGAAACUACUUGGCUGGAGUGUGGCAGAGGAAGGUGGAAUUCCAGGUGUAGCGGUGAAAUGCGUAGAGAUCUGGAGGAACACCGAUGGCGAAGGCAGCCUUCUGGGCCAACACUGACGCUCAUGCACGAAAGCGUGGGGAGCAAACAGG
This 253-nucleotide ribosomal RNA is filed under the name uncultured bacterium. RNAcentral describes it as "partial 16S ribosomal RNA". It matches the Rfam family "Bacterial small subunit ribosomal RNA", at positions 524 to 776 of the family's 1533-position model. The record is from RNAcentral.